Molecule: ribosomal RNA, 542 nt
Filed under: uncultured eukaryote
Lineage: Eukaryota
Description: SSU rRNA
Rfam family: Eukaryotic small subunit ribosomal RNA
Source: RNAcentral
AUGUCUAAGAUAUAAACAAAUCUAUACGUGAAACUGCGAAUGGCAGUUAUAGUUUAUUUGAUGGUCCUUGCUACUGUGGAUAACCGUAGUAACUCUAGAGCUAAUACAUGCAUCAAACCCUGACUCACGAAGGGGNGUAUUUAUUAGAUGGAAACCAAUGCGGGGCNACCCGGAAUCUGGUGAUUCAUAAUAACUUUCGGAUCGACUUCNGNCGAUGCAUCAUUCAAGUUUCUGCCCUAUCAGCUUUGGAUGGNAGGGUAUUGGCCUACCNUGGCUUUAANGGGUAACGGAGAAUUAGGGUUCGAUUCCGGAGAGGGAGCCUGAGAAAUGGCUACCACAUCCAANGAAGGCAGCAGGCGCGUAAAUUACCCAAUCCUGACACAGGGAGGUAGUGACAAUAAAUAACAAUGCCGGGCUUUUCUAAGUCUGGCAAUUGGAAUGAGAACAAUUUAAAUCCCUUAUCGAGGAUCAAUUGGAGGGCAAGUNUGGUGCCAGCAGCCNCGGUAAUUCCAGCUCCAAUAGCGUAUACUAAAGUUGUUGCA